CAAAAAUAACGAUACGGGACUCAUCCGAGGCCCCGUAAUCGGAAUGAGUACACUCUAAACCCUUUAACGAGGAUCAAUUGGAGGGCAAGUCUGGUGCCAGCAGCCGCGGUAACACCAGCUCCAAUAGCGUAUAUUAAAGUUGUUGCGGUUAAAAAGCUCGUAGUCGAAUUUGUGUCCCGCGCCGCCGGUUCAUCGCUCGCGGUGUUAACUGGCGUGUCCGCGGGACGUCCUGCCGGUGGGCUUAGCUCUCGGGCGGCCCAAUCUCAAUCCCACCGCGGUGCUCUUUACUGAGUGUCGAGGUGGGCCGGCACGUUUACUUUGAACAAAUUAGAGUGCUUAAAGCAGGCUAAAAUAUCGCCUGAAUACUGUGUGCAUGGAAUAAUGGAAUAGGACCUCGGUUCUAUUUUGUUGGUUUUCGGAACCCCGAGGUAAUGAUUAAUAGGAACGGAUGGGGGCAUUCGUAUUGCGACGUUAGAGGUGAAAUUCUUGGAUCGUCGCAAGACGGACAGAAGCGAAAGCAUUUGCCAAAAACGUUUUCAUUGAUCAAGAACGAAAGUUAGAGGUUCGAAGGCGAUCAGAUACCGCCCUAGUUCUAACCAUAAACGAUGCCAGCUAGCGAUCCGCCGACGUUCCUCCGAUGACUCGGCGGGCAGCUUCCGGGAAACCAAAGCUUUUGGGAUCCGGGGGAAGUAUGGUUGCAAAGCUGAAACUUAAAGGAAUUGACGGAAGGGCACCACCAGGAGUGGAGCCUGCGGCUUAAUUUGACUCAACACGGGAAACCUCACCAGGCCCGGACACCGGAAGGAUUGACAGAUUGAGAG
This 821-nucleotide ribosomal RNA is filed under the name Helictopleurus marsyas. RNAcentral's name for it is "SSU rRNA". It matches the Rfam family "Eukaryotic small subunit ribosomal RNA", at positions 472 to 1254 of the family's 1831-position model. The record is from RNAcentral. Lineage: Eukaryota; Metazoa; Arthropoda; Insecta; Coleoptera; Scarabaeidae. RNAcentral also lists the same sequence under 3 other names.